This 74-nucleotide transfer RNA is filed under the name Candidatus Woesearchaeota archaeon. Its description in RNAcentral is "tRNA-Ile". It matches the Rfam family "tRNA". Rfam says of the family: Transfer RNA (tRNA) molecules are approximately 80 nucleotides in length. Their secondary structure includes four short double-helical elements and three loops (D, anti-codon, and T loops). The record is from RNAcentral. Lineage: Archaea; Nanobdellati; Candidatus Woesearchaeota.
GGCGCCGUAGCUUAGCCUGGUAGAGCACUCGACUGAUACUCGAGCGGCCGUCGGUUCAAAUCCGAUCGGCGCCA